UUUUUUUUUUUUUUUUUUUUGGGUGGAGAAUUUCCUUUUUUUUUGGUACGAUUAAAGGAGAAUUUCCAAGUGGAGGUAUGUUUGUGGUUGACUUCACUGACUCAACUAGUUAAGUUGUGGGGGCUUAGGGUUAGAACUUAGAGGGGGUAGAGGAUGUUGACUUUUUUCCCUUUGAGGAAGUUGACUUCCCUUAAUGUAUUUUUAAAUCAUAUCCCUCUUACUUUCUUUCACUUUCUUUCUUUCUCAUUCUUUGUUGGGACCUUUUUAUUUUUUAUUUUUUUGGGAGUGCAUUGUCAACUCUUCCUCUUUCUAUUACCUUCUUCCACUCAGCCUUUUCCUUUUUGGAUUUAAUAUUGUUUUCUCUCUUUUUUUUUUGGUUUGGAUGCUUGGUAGGAUGUGGCUUGGGAAGUUUCGGUGCAAGAAGGGAGAACGUGUGGAACUAAAAAACGGUUAAAUACAGUUGGCAACGCUUUGACAAUGCAACAAAGAAUUGAAUAAUUCACAGAUAUUUGAAAAGGAGAUAAAAGUAAAACCGCUAGUGUAGUGUAUAGUGUAUACCCUAUCCCAAAUCAGCCGUGUAUUUUACUGCUUAGGCAAGUACUCCGCCGUAUAACACUUGGAAGUUUCUAAUUCUAGGCGCAUGUCCUUCAGAAAAAAUUCUAGCCGCACGGUUGGGAUGUCACACACCAUUUUUUUUUCAACAGCCUGAAUCAGACUUUUGUUGUUUUAUAAACCUAAUCCCAGAAUUAACCUCAAAAGCCGGCAACUCUUGAGGCAAUCCCAGGGACUUAUAUCCCAACCCAAACCCAACCCCAACCCCGAUGUGGGACAAAUGUACCUAUAGGGGGGACCUGCUGCUAAGUGGGAUACUACCACCCAAUACCCUUUCAACCCUGAGGCAAUUUGUCUUUUUUCAACAGCCUGAAUCAGACUUUUGUUGUUUUAUAAACCUAAUCCCGUCACACACCAUUAAUUAUCCACUUUGUGAACAUUCUAUUCCAAAAAGCUUCUGUGGAUUGGAUGGUAUUCAACCACCAGCGUUUGGGUUAGUGGCCACCACUUAGCUUGGUAGGGUAGCCUCCCCACCAAAAUGUCAUAUUUAAGUGGUUUAUUUCAAAAAAUUCAGCCGGAUGUGUACACUCAUUUGGUCCGAUGGUGAUUUAAUCCUCUCCGAGUUAUUCCUGAGCCUCCUUAGGUCCGCCCCCUCCCCCUUAGUGUAGAAUAGAUUAGGUUAUACAACUGUUGUCGUUUCCAAAAAAAAAAAAAAGAAAAAAAAAGAUUGGAUGGUAUUCGGUGAUAAAAUAUAAGUGAAAGAUGCUGAAUUCAAAACCUCCUAUUCACAUUUAAAAAAAAAUUUUGAUACUGAAUUCAAGACUUCUUAUUCACAAAAAAAAAUUCUGUCUAUAUCAUUAGUAUGAAUUCGGAGGAAUAAAAUUGGCCCAAUUAGUAUUGUACUAAAAAACCUAGGCCCAGCUUGAUUACAUUUUUUUUUUCACUGACAAUCAAAUAUCUUCAUACUUUGUUCUGCUAAUUAUACAUGUAGUUUUUGACUAGUAUCUAGACAGUCUUAUUUUGGUCCAAUGUUAGGAAUUAAACGGUUGAUACACAAUAUUAUAAACCUAAUAUCAUGUAGAAGUUAUUUCUCUCAUCCGAAAACACAUCCUAUUGAUAUAUAUUAGUUGAAAAAAAGGGGAAAAAAAACGAUAUUUACGCAUCCCUCUUUGAUAUUCAUGCAUUCUCACCAACUUAAAUUGGCCUUGAAUGUAAUGAAAAUUGAAGUGGUCAUAAUGUGUGGAUGCCAAAUAGAAACUUGUGAAUAUCUUUUUUUUUUUUUUUUCAAAUAUUAGUUGGUGCGCAGUUUAUGUUAGCGAGUCUUUUUUGAGAAAUAUGAAACACGGGCACUUGAUUGCAAAUAAAAAAUAUGGCUGUAAUCUAGAAAAUAAAAAGUAAUACUACUCCGAACAUAUUUAGAACAUCAAUCCCUACGUUUUAUAACUCUGCUAAUUGUUCUUGAGGUCCCUUGGUACUUCUAUAUCCACCCUAAUCAUUUCCUACCUCCAUUUCGGUUGAAUGGAGAAUAACUUGGUUCACAAUAUUUCUACAUAUUUUUAUCCAUCAAACAUCUAAAAUGCAUUUUGAUCAAGACAUUUUCAUGACUUUCGUUCCUGCUGCCUCAUGCAUCUGCUAUCAUACUCUGAAUUUUGCCAACAAGCAAACUGGAUCCUACCACUAGUUUAUCCUUCACCAUCACCCUCACCCUCACCCUCACCCUUUAUGUUUUUUUGGAUCGCCUACCUAUUUAUUUCUGUGAAAACAUAUUUACUGUGUUUGGUUCUACUUGUCAACUUCUCAUAACUCCUGUAAUUUGGUUAAAUAGAUCUUUAAACUGGGAAGAUAUGUAGACUGUAACCUAAUAAUAUACCAAAGAAAUGCUCUCAUAAAUCAGAGAAAUCAGAAAGAUACAGCAAUACCUAAAACACUUUUUUCUCUUCCUUUCUUUCUUGGCAAGGAAAAAGGGCAGCUACAAGUACAACCAGAAAAGCCUAAACGCAGAAAAUUGUCAACCUUUUCAUGUCAUGCCAGUAAUGCCAAUACAACAUUUGAAACAAAAUGUCUCCUAAAAUAAAGCAAAACAUGUUUAGGGCAUGGUUUUUAACUUGUAAUCAGUGAAACCACUGAAAACCUCAACAGUUUAGCAACUCAAACAAAUGCCAUAACAGCAGCGCCAUUGACACAAGUACUUCUGUGAGAAAACGUACUAAAGCAGAUUCCCUUGAUCAGGUCUAGUUAACAGGUUUUUUUUUCACAUUCUAUCUUCCCUCCUGCGUGGGGCACAAGUAAUGAUUUCAUCAACUCUUAAAAUCAUCUCAGCAGCCUCAGUUGCAGAGAGUAACACAGCUUGCUUAACUUUAAAUGCUUCAGAGAUUCCAAGCUCUGCCAUAUCUCCUACCUGUCAAGAUCACAAAAUACAUUUAUUUGGCAUAGACUGACACUAGAAAUUGGUGCGAGUUACAUAAUUUCACUCUAUAGGAAUAAUUAUCGACAAAGCUUUAAUUCACAUCAUCAAUGGUUCAAAUGGCAAUCAGAUCUCCAAUGAACAAACCAUAGCCUAGUUGUCCACUAUUUCACUUACAGAUCCAGAUAUGACAUCAAUCCCUGCAGCGCUUCCUUCCUCGUGAUGUUCUGCACGGAGUUGGGAAACCAAUUCAGCACUGUCCAGACCUGCAUUAUCAGCAAUAAUAGUUGGAAUGGCCAAUAAUGCUCGUGAGAAAGCUUCAAUGGCAUGAGACUUUUUCCCAGGGGUCUUCCUAGCUAGUUCAUCCACUGCUUUUGCCAUCACCAUCUCUGGCCAUCCACCUCCAAACAACACUCUACUGUCAUUUACAGUCUGAGAUAAGACACAC
This 3404-nucleotide long non-coding RNA is filed under the name Coffea arabica (coffee). Its description in RNAcentral is "long non-coding RNA (CARA_LNC000288)". The record is from RNAcentral. Lineage: Eukaryota; Viridiplantae; Streptophyta; Magnoliopsida; Gentianales; Rubiaceae.